GAUGAAGAACGUAGCGAAAUGCGAUAAGUAAUGUGAAUUGCAGAAUUCAGUGAAUCAUCGAAUCUUUGAACGCACCUUGCACCCUUUGGCAUUCCGAAGGGUAUGCUCGUUUGAGUGUCAUUGUACUCUCACACUUCCAAUCUUUGGAUUGGGAGCAGUGGACUUGGGUGUUGCUGCUUACUGUGGCUCACCUCAAAUCGAUUCGUGCACCUCUUGGUUGGACAUAGUACGGCGUGAUAAGUGUCUUCGCCGGCACCUCAGUAGAGGGUGGCUGAUCAGGAGCUCUGUGCUUCAAACCGUCCUCGGACAACAACUGACAACUUGACCUCAAAUCGAGUAGGACUACCCGCUGAACUUAAGCAUAUCAAUAAGCGGAGGAA
This 380-nucleotide unclassified non-coding RNA is filed under the name soil metagenome. Its description in RNAcentral is "partial contains 5.8S ribosomal RNA, internal transcribed spacer 2, and large subunit ribosomal RNA". The stretch from base 1 to 120 matches the Rfam family "5.8S ribosomal RNA", at positions 35 to 154 of the family's 154-position model. The record is from RNAcentral.